This 207-nucleotide ribosomal RNA is filed under the name uncultured bacterium. RNAcentral describes it as "partial 16S ribosomal RNA". It matches the Rfam family "Bacterial small subunit ribosomal RNA", at positions 568 to 774 of the family's 1533-position model. The record is from RNAcentral.
CUCGUAGGCGGUUUGUCGCGUCUGCCGUGAAAGUCCGGGGCUCAACUCCGGAUCUGCGGUGGGUACGGGCAGACUAGAGUGAUGUAGGGGAGACUGGAAUUCCUGGUGUAGCGGUGAAAUGCGCAGAUAUCAGGAGGAACACCGAUGGCGAAGGCAGGUCUCUGGGCAUUAACUGACGCUGAGGAGCGAAAGCGAUGGGGAUGAACA